Molecule: ribosomal RNA, 301 nt
Filed under: uncultured bacterium
Lineage: Bacteria
Description: partial 16S ribosomal RNA
Rfam family: Bacterial small subunit ribosomal RNA
Source: RNAcentral
CAGUCGCCGCGGGAAUACGAAGGGUGCAAGCGUUACUCGGAAUUACUGGGCGUAAAGGGCUCGCAGGCGGUUUCUUAAGUCUGAUGUGAAAGCCCCCGGCUCAACCGGGGAGGGUCAUUGGAAACUGGGAAACUUGAGUGCAGAAGAGGAGAGUGGAAUUCCACGUGUAGCGGUGAAAUGCGUAGAGAUGUGGAGGAACACCAGUGGCGAAGGCGACUCUCUGGUCUGUAACUGACGCUGAGGAGCGAAAGCGUGGGGAGCGAACAGGAUUAGAUACCCCCGUAGUCCCUGUCUCUUAUAA